UACGUAGGGUGCGAGCGUUAAUCGGAAUUACUGGGCGUAAAGCGUGCGCAGGCGGUUCGUUGUGUCGGCGGUGAAAGCCCCGGGCUCAACCUGGGAAUGGCCGUUGAAACUGGCGAACUGGAGUGUGGCAGAGGGGGGGUGGAAUUCCGCGUGUAGCAGUGAAAUGCGUAGAUAUCAGGAGGAACACCGGUGGCGAAGGCGGGUCUCUGGGCCGAUACUGACGCUGAGGAGCGAAAGCGUGGGGAGCAAACAGG
RNAcentral lists this ribosomal RNA (254 nucleotides) under uncultured bacterium. Its description in RNAcentral is "partial 16S ribosomal RNA". It matches the Rfam family "Bacterial small subunit ribosomal RNA", at positions 524 to 776 of the family's 1533-position model. The record is from RNAcentral.